This 450-nucleotide ribosomal RNA is filed under the name uncultured bacterium. RNAcentral's name for it is "partial 16S ribosomal RNA". It matches the Rfam family "Bacterial small subunit ribosomal RNA", at positions 354 to 796 of the family's 1533-position model. The record is from RNAcentral.
GUGGGGAAUAUUGGACAAUGGGCGAAAGCCUGAUCCAGCCAUGCCGCGUGUGUGAAGAAGGUCUUCGGAUUGUAAAGCACUUUAAGUUGGGAGGAAGGGCAGUAAGUUAAUACCUUGCUGUUUUGACGUUACCGACAGAAUAAGCACCGGCUAACUUCGUGCCAGCAGCCGCGGUAAUACGAAGGGUGCAAGCGUUAAUCGGAAUUACUGGGCGUAAAGCGCGCGUAGGUGGUUUUGUAAGUUGGAGGUGAAAUCCCCGGGCUCAACCUGGGAACUGCAUCCAAAACUGCAUGACUAGAGUACGGGAGAGGGUAGUGGAAUUUCCUGUGUAGCGGUGAAAUGCGUAGAUAUAGGAAGGAACACCAGUGGCGAAGGCGACUACCUGGACUGAUACUGACACUGAGGUGCGAAAGCGUGGGGAGCAAACAGGAUUAGAAACCCGAGUAGUCC